This 408-nucleotide ribosomal RNA is filed under the name uncultured bacterium. RNAcentral's name for it is "partial 16S ribosomal RNA". It matches the Rfam family "Bacterial small subunit ribosomal RNA", at positions 28 to 526 of the family's 1533-position model. The record is from RNAcentral.
GACGAACGCUGGCGGCGUGCCUAACACAUGCAAGUCGACAUGAGUGGCGAACGGGAGCGUAAAACGCGGGUAACCUGCCCUCCUUUUUGGGAAAAGCCCUGGAAACGGGGUCUAAUACCGCAUACAGGGGGAUGGGCCCGCGGCCUAUCAGCUAGUUGGUGGGGUGAUGGCCUACCAAGGCGGUGACGGGUAGCCGGCCUGAGAGGGUGACCGGCCACAUUAGGACUGCGAUACGGCCCAGACUCCUACGGGUGGCAGCAGUGGGGGAUUUUGCACAAUGGGCGAAAGCCGGAUGCAGCGACGCCGCGUGGGGGAUGAAUGCUUGCAGGUUGUAAACCUCUUUCGCUAUCGAGCGGGUAGGUGGAGAAGAAGCGCCGGCUAACUACGUGCCAGCAGCCGCGGUAAUUC